RNAcentral lists this unclassified non-coding RNA (307 nucleotides) under plant metagenome. RNAcentral's name for it is "partial contains 5.8S ribosomal RNA, internal transcribed spacer 2, and large subunit ribosomal RNA". The stretch from base 1 to 105 matches the Rfam family "5.8S ribosomal RNA", at positions 50 to 154 of the family's 154-position model. The record is from RNAcentral.
GAAAUGCGAUAAGUAGUGUGAAUUGCAGAAUUCAGUGAAUCAUCGAAUCUUUGAACGCACAUUGCGCCCCUUGGUAUUCCAUGGGGCAUGCCUGUUCGAGCGUCAUUUGUACCCUCAAGCUUUGCUUGGUGUUGGGCGUCUUGUCUACCUCUUUAGCGGGUAGACUCGCCUUAAAGUAAUUGGCAGCCAGUGUUUUUGGCAGUAAGCGCAGCACAUUUUGCGUCUUAGUCCCUAAACAGUGGCUUCCACAAAGCCUCUUUCUCACUUUUGACCUCGGAUCAGGUAGGGAUACCCGCUGAACUUAAGC